UACGUAGGGUGCGAGCGUUGUCCGGAAUUACUGGGCGUAAAGAGCUCGUAGGUGGUUUGUCGCGUUGUCCGUGAAAACUCACAACUCAAUUGUGGGCGUGCGGGCGAUACGGGCAGACUGGAGUACUGCAGGGGAGACUGGAAUUCCUGGUGUAGCGGUGGAAUGCGCAGAUAUCAGGAGGAACACCGGUGGCGAAGGUGGGUCUCUGGGCAGUAACUGACGCUGAGGAGCGAAAGCGUGGGGAGCGAACAGG
Molecule: ribosomal RNA, 253 nt
Filed under: uncultured bacterium
Lineage: Bacteria
Description: partial 16S ribosomal RNA
Rfam family: Bacterial small subunit ribosomal RNA
Source: RNAcentral